This 465-nucleotide ribosomal RNA is filed under the name Vreelandella stevensii. RNAcentral's name for it is "partial 16S ribosomal RNA". It matches the Rfam family "Bacterial small subunit ribosomal RNA", at positions 338 to 795 of the family's 1533-position model. Lineage: Bacteria; Pseudomonadati; Pseudomonadota; Gammaproteobacteria; Oceanospirillales; Halomonadaceae. The record is from RNAcentral.
CCUACGGGUGGCAGCAGUGGGGAAUAUUGGACAAUGGGGGCAACCCUGAUCCAGCCAUGCCGCGUGUGUGAAGAAGGCCCUCGGGUUGUAAAGCACUUUCAGUGAGGAAGAACGCCUGGUGGUUAAUACCCAUCAGGAAAGACAUCACUCACAGAAGAAGCACCGGCUAACUCCGUGCCAGCAGCCGCGGUAAUACGGAGGGUGCGAGCGUUAAUCGGAAUUACUGGGCGUAAAGCGCGCGUAGGUGGCUUGAUAAGCCGGUUGUGAAAGCCCCGGGCUCAACCUGGGAACGGCAUCCGGAACUGUCAAGCUAGAGUGCAGGAGAGGAAGGUAGAAUUCCCGGUGUAGUGGUGAAAUGCGUAGAGAUCGGGAGGAAUACCAGUGGCGAAGGCGGCCUUCUGGACUGACACUGACACUGAGGUGCGAAAGCGUGGGUAGCAAACAGGAUUAGAUACCCUGGUAGUC